AUCGUGGACCCAAGUGAGAUUUUGAGCGUUCAAUUUCAUAUUGGGGGGCAGUUCAUGCACAUUGGUCCAAAUUUGAACUAUGUUGGGGGAGAAUAAGCCAUGUUAGAGAUUGAGAGGGAUUUGUCUCUGCAGGAAGUGAAAGGUUAUCUAACAGAUCAUAUUGAACUGAAGGAAUCUAUGAAGUUGUACUUUCUACUUCCUGGGAUAGAGCUUAUCAAUGGCUUGGUUUUCCUUCAUGCUGACAUUGGGUGUGUGAAGAUGGCUAACUAUAUUUGUGUUGGAGGAGUUGCUGAUGUGUAUGUGGAGUAUCAUGGAGAGGAAGAUAGCAAUGACAACAUUAGUGGGAGUGACUUUGAGGAUGAAAUAAUGGAACAAAGUGAUGAUGAACCAGAUGCAGUGAUAACUGUUGUUGAACCUGCAGAAUCUGAGCCUGAUGUUAUCAUUACGGAUGAAAGUGGUGUGAUCACACAGAGAAUUUGCAGCCCCAUCAAGCAGACAAGAGGCGAUGCAAGACAAGUAGAUGUUGAUCAUGAAAUGGCAGGAAUUGAAGGAGUUCUUUCUUAG
RNAcentral lists this ribosomal RNA (564 nucleotides) under Triticum aestivum (bread wheat). RNAcentral's name for it is "partial small subunit ribosomal RNA". Lineage: Eukaryota; Viridiplantae; Streptophyta; Magnoliopsida; Poales; Poaceae. The record is from RNAcentral.